This 253-nucleotide ribosomal RNA is filed under the name uncultured bacterium. RNAcentral's name for it is "partial 16S ribosomal RNA". It matches the Rfam family "Bacterial small subunit ribosomal RNA", at positions 524 to 776 of the family's 1533-position model. The record is from RNAcentral.
UACGAAGGGGGCUAGCGUUGCUCGGAAUUACUGGGCGUAAAGGGCGCGUAGGCGGUUCUAUAAGUCAGGCGUGAAAUUCCUGGGCUUAACCUGGGGGCUGCGCUUGAGACUGUGGGACUUGAGGUCAGAAGAGGGUCGUGGAAUUCCGGGUGUAGUGGUGAAAUGCGUAGAUAUCCGGAGGAACACCAGUGGCGAAAGCGGCCACCUGGACUGCACCUGACGCUGACACGCGAAAGCUAGGGGAGCGAACGGG